UACGUAGGGUGCAAGCGUUGUCCGGAAUUAUUGGGCGUAAAGAGCUCGUAGGCGGUCUGUUGCGUCGGCUGUGAAAACCCGAGGCUCAACCUCGGGCCUGCAGCCGAUACGGGCAGACUAGAGUUCGGCAGGGGAGACUGGAAUUCCUGGUGUAGCGGUGAAAUGCGCAGAUAUCAGGAGGAACACCGGUGGCGAAGGCGGGUCUCUGGGCAGAGACUGACGCUGAGGAGCGAAAGCGUGGGGAGCGAACAGG
Molecule: ribosomal RNA, 253 nt
Filed under: uncultured bacterium
Lineage: Bacteria
Description: partial 16S ribosomal RNA
Rfam family: Bacterial small subunit ribosomal RNA
Source: RNAcentral